Molecule: long non-coding RNA, 1095 nt
Organism: Xiphophorus hellerii (green swordtail)
Lineage: Eukaryota; Metazoa; Chordata; Actinopteri; Cyprinodontiformes; Poeciliidae
Exons: 2
Source: RefSeq, a predicted model, not a curated record
CAGCUGCCGGACUGGUGAUCCGGUUUUAUGCAGAAACAUCAUAAAUCCUGCAGAUCAGAGUCAGAGCAGGUCUAACGGUUUUCUAGAAACUUCAUCCAGAAUGUAGAAACUGUAAGUUUAUCCUCUCGUUCACUCCUUCAUGCUGACAGGAAGUUCUCCUGAACCGCCAUGUCUCCUCAGCGGUGAGCACUGCUAGCUAAAGAGUUAGCUGGGCAGGCUAAUCUCAAAACACAAUAAACAUUAGUUCCGCUUAUGCAAAAGAGAAACACAAACAUAUUUAGCAGAUGCUAAUGCUAAAUAGCUACUCCAAUACCUGUUUAGAGGAAGCUAACGCUAAAGCGCUACACCAACACAGUAUUUAGAGGAGGCUAAUGCUAAAAUGCUAACUUCAAUUCAAAUUCUACUGAAAGACAAAUUAUGUACAUUUUGUUUUGACACAAUUUCUAUAACACCUUAAAUAUUGUACAUCUUGUUCUUGCUCUAUGUUUUACAGUUAAGGGGAAGCUAAGUGGCCAAAUGAGCGGAAAUGUGUCCAACACCGCAAUCACCAUAGCAACCGGUACCUCAGCAUGUUCUGAGCCUCUGCUCCAUCAUGGCCGCCCACACAGAACCUGGCUAACCCAACUGGGUCAGAACUGAUGAACUGAGAACUUAGUGAAGUUCUGUAGAACUCCGCAUUUCCGACGCUUACAAAGCGCUCAGCUGCCAGUAGAAAACAGCUGCAGCCUCCAGGAUCAGGCAGCUUACGCACUGCAGGGAAAUACUGCCCCCAACAGGCUGUAGGUAGGUACUGCAUCUUUUAAAAAAAUUCAAACAUUGAAAUAUUUCACAUUAUUUUAUUCUGGUCCAGAUUAAUGUGAUUUUAAUACUAUGAAACAAUUAUAAAUCUCUGAUGCGUUUGUUGUGAACUGGUUGUGUAUUAAAUCUAAACCCAAACAAUUUUUAAUAAAGAAAAAACAGAAACAGGAGUUAUUUUUUCAGUUUUAAUCAAACAUUUGUUCCAAAAGUUCAUUUACUGAUAAAUCAGCUAAAAAUAUGAUAAAUAUAAAAACAUCAAGCAGUUUCCACCCGAACCUGAGGGUUAAAGACUCUUCA